Molecule: ribosomal RNA, 512 nt
Filed under: uncultured bacterium
Lineage: Bacteria
Description: bacterial SSU rRNA
Rfam family: Bacterial small subunit ribosomal RNA
Source: RNAcentral
UAGUCCUAACCAUAAACGAUGGAUGCUAGAUGUGGGAUCGAGAAGAUUCCGUGUCGGAGCAAACGCGAUAAGCAUCCCGCCUGGGGAGUACGGCCGCAAGGCUAAAACUCAAACGAAUUGACGGGGCCCCGCACAAGCAGCGGAGCGUGUGGUUUAAUUCGAUGAUACACGAAGAACCUUACCUGGGUUUGACAUAUAAGUGGUACUGAAGCGAAAGCUGAAGGACCCUUCGGGGAGCUUAUACAGGUGCUGCAUGGCUGUCGUCAGCUCGUGCCGUGAGGUGUCGGGUUAAGUCCCGUAACGAGCGCAACCCUUGCCCCUAGUUAUAAGUGUCUAGGGGGACUGCCGGUGAUAAAUCGGAGGAAGGUGGGGAUGACGUCAAGUCAGCAUGGCCUUUAUAUCCAGGGCUACACACACACUACAAUGGCCGGUACAAUGGGUAGCGAAGCCGCGAGGAAGAGCGAAUCUCGAAAGCCGGUCGUAGUUCGAAUUGUAGGCUGCAACUCGCCUAC